CCUACGGGUGGCAGCAGUGGGGAAUAUUGCACAAUGGGGGGAACCCUGAUGCAGCGACGCCGCGUGAGUGAAGAAGUAUUUCGGUACGUAAAGCUCUGUCAGCAGGGAAGAAGAAAGACGGUACUUGACCAAGAAGCCUCGGCUAACUACGUGCCAGCAGCCGCGGCAAUACGUAGGGGGCAAGCGUUAUUCGGACUUACUGGGUGUAAAGGGAGCGUAGACGGCAGGGCAAGUCCGGAGUGAAAGGCAGGGGCCCAACCCCUGGACUGCUCUGGAAACUGGCCGGCUGGAGUGCAGGAGAGGAGAGUGGAAUUCCUGGUGUAGCGGUGAAAUGCGUAGAUAUUAGGAGGAACACCAGUGGCGAAGGCGACUAACUGGACUGUAACUGACGUUGAGGCUCGAAAGCGUGGGUAGCAAACAGGAUUAGAUACCCCAGUAGUC
Molecule: ribosomal RNA, 441 nt
Filed under: uncultured bacterium
Lineage: Bacteria
Description: partial 16S ribosomal RNA
Rfam family: Bacterial small subunit ribosomal RNA
Source: RNAcentral